Molecule: small RNA, 113 nt
Filed under: Myxococcota bacterium
Lineage: Bacteria; Pseudomonadati; Myxococcota
Description: 6S RNA
Rfam family: 6S / SsrS RNA
About the family: E. coli 6S RNA was the first non coding RNA to be sequenced, but its function was unknown until recently. It consists of 184 nucleotides that fold into an extended hairpin structure with a large single-stranded internal bulge. The 6S RNA specifically associates with RNA polymerase holoenzyme containing the sigma70 specificity factor.
Source: RNAcentral
GAACCGCUGGUGCAUGACAACGGGAGUCGCCCCUGCCCGCGGUGUGCAGGCCCGGUUCGGCCGGGACGCCUGAAGCGGGUAUCGCGACGCCCCCCUGGUUCCUUCCGGGGUUC